AUACGUAGGGGGCGAGCGUUGUUCGGAAUGAUUGGGCGUAAAGGGCGCGUAGGCGGCCCGGUAAGUCUGGAGUGAAAGUCCUGUUUUUAAGAUGGGAAUUGCUUUGGAUACUGUCGGGCUUGAGUGCAGGAGAGGUAAGUGGAAUUCCCAGUGUAGCGGUGAAAUGCGUAGAGAUUGGGAGGAACACCAGUGGCGAAGGCGACUUACUGGACUGUAACUGACGCUGAGGCGCGAAAGUGUGGGGAGCAAACAGGAUUAGAUACCCUGGUAGUCCACACUGUAAACGAUGAAUGCUAGGUGUAGGGGGUAUCGACCCCUUCUGUGCCGCAGUCAACACAAUAAGCAUUCCGCCUGGGGAGUACGGCCGCAAGGUUGAAACUCAAAUGAAUUGACGGGG
This 397-nucleotide ribosomal RNA is filed under the name uncultured bacterium. Its description in RNAcentral is "partial 16S ribosomal RNA". It matches the Rfam family "Bacterial small subunit ribosomal RNA", at positions 523 to 918 of the family's 1533-position model. The record is from RNAcentral.